CGAGAUGCCUCUCUUAUCAGGCGAAAUGGAACCUUCGACAAGUCCUAUUUUCCCUGAUCAGGAAGGCAUUCUCCGUUUAACGCGCCGACCCCCACUAAACGUCCAUCGGUGGAUUCAG
This 118-nucleotide small RNA is filed under the name Frondihabitans sp. PAMC 28766. Its description in RNAcentral is "Actinobacteria sRNA Ms_IGR-7". It matches the Rfam family "Actinobacteria sRNA Ms_IGR-7". The record is from Rfam by way of RNAcentral. Lineage: Bacteria; Bacillati; Actinomycetota; Actinomycetes; Micrococcales; Microbacteriaceae.